This 341-nucleotide long non-coding RNA is filed under the name Gossypium raimondii (Peruvian cotton). RNAcentral describes it as "long non-coding RNA (GRAI_LNC010120)". The record is from RNAcentral. Lineage: Eukaryota; Viridiplantae; Streptophyta; Magnoliopsida; Malvales; Malvaceae.
GCUACACUAUAGGGUAUUAUGGCCGCAUAUUUGAAGCUCGAAACAAGACCAAAGGCGGUUCCUUUGUGGUACAUAAUGCUUCCCAUCCUAAUUCUGAAUGUCAUUUUAAAUUAGUUGAUUAUUUCAUGAUAUUAUCUGGGUUUAAAACAUGCAGGGAGAUGACAAAGACUUCUUCAAAUUUAGACUUGGAUCCCAAGAAGUGAGUAGUUGGUUUUGCUGAAUCAGAUAAUAGUGUUCUCCAUACAACUCAUGAAUGUUAAAGAUAAUAUAGUUCUAAUUCACCUUUUUCUUGUUUUUGUGAUCUAAGCAAAUAAUUUAGUUUUAAGGAUUUAUGAUUGUCU